This 1294-nucleotide long non-coding RNA is filed under the name Marmota monax (woodchuck). Lineage: Eukaryota; Metazoa; Chordata; Mammalia; Rodentia; Sciuridae. The record is from RNAcentral.
AUGCAGACACCUAACAGCUGUUUGCACAGAUAUGAGCUGGCUUCUUGAAUUUGAAGACUGCUUUUUAUGAAGAGAUAUGGGUGCAGUUAUCUGUAAAUUGGAUGUUAUAUCUGUUCUUCUCUGACUUUGCUAAUUAUAGUCAGAAGGGGGAGGAAGGGAGAUUUUGAAGGUCUGAAAGUCCUUUUUUUUAUGUAGUCAUGCUUAAAUUUUGGAUAUAGUAACAAUAAUAAACAUCAUCACAGUUAAUAUAUUAAGCACUUACUUAAUGUCACGUGCUGAACUAAGUAUCUCAUUUUCUCCUCAUAAACUCCCACAAGUGAGAUUAUAUUCCUAUGUCAAGACAUCUCCAAAGUUAAAGAAAAUUGCUGUGCCUUGUGCACCCUUUUUGCUAAAGAAGAGGUACAAAACUUGGUAGGUCUUUUUGGAGGCAACAUAUUCCUCACUUAAGUGUACUGCUCUCUUACCCAUUUGAUUCAGUUUUGAGUGAGUCCUGGGGCAAGGGAGAGCUCUGCAGUGUUCCAGAUUGCCACAGAAGCUGCUUACCACUUGAGAUUUAUGGUACAGCAGAUAUGGUGUCAUCUGAAGUAAGUGUCACAAUGAUGCAUGUUGAAAGAAGGAAUGGAGCAGGAUUAGAGCGCAGACUCCUAGAGUUUCAGAACAAACUAUUCUAUUUUCUGGAAAUAAACAUUCUUUUGAGAAAUAGUACCUAGUUUGACACUAUCUUACUAGAAAUUUAAUGCUUAACCGUGGAUUAUCAAGGGACCGCGCAACUUGUAUGGCUUAUCCUGAGUGAGGUGUUUCCUAGCCACAAGGUUGUGCAUGAAGAGUGGCAGUUCCUCAAAAGGAAAUAUAUAUGUAUGUAUGUAUGUAUGUAUGUAUAUAGGCUGCAUAGCCUUCCUCUGUCAGUCCAUACCUACAGCCUCAUGCAGAAUUUCUUAUUUAAAAAGUAUGAUUAUUAGUGUAUGUUAAUUGUACAAAAUAAGUAGAUUCAUUGUGACAAUUUCAUACCUGCAUAUUUCCCUGUUUCUCCUCCCCUCCCUCUGUCCUUCUCUUUACCUAACAGUCCCCCCACCUUUUUUUUUAAUUUCUAAAUUCACAUAUGAGAGAAAACAUGCAAUAUUUGUUUUUCAUCUGGCUUAUUUUGCUUAACAUAAUCUCCUGUUCCAUCCUUUUCCCUGAAAAUGACACUAUUUCAUUCUUCUUUAUGGCUAAACAAUAUUCACAUAACUCGUUUACUAAAGAAGAAAAACUAGGGCUUGCUUCUUUAUAUAUAUAUAUAUUUUAGUUGUAGUCG